This is a non-coding RNA of Cajanus cajan (pigeon pea), 399 nucleotides long. NCBI's taxonomy places the organism in Eukaryota, Viridiplantae, Streptophyta, Magnoliopsida, Fabales, Fabaceae. The record is from RefSeq and is a predicted model, not a curated record.
CAGGUCUAUUUCAUUUCUCACCAAAACUGGCUAGUAGUGGCUGAUGGAGUUGGCCAGUGGUCAUUUGAAGGUAUCCUUUCUACAAUAUUUGGAAACCCAUGAGCAUUAAUAUUUGAGCCAAUGACAAUGCUGCAGAAGAUGGCCGAGCUUAUAGAGUACUCUUACCUGUUAUUAGAUAUGGCGGAUAAGACUGAGGAUCCAUACAUGAGACUAGUAUAUGCUUCAUCAUUCUUUAUAUCUAUCUACUAUCCCUAACAACGAACGUGGAAGCCAUUCAAUCCAAUUCUUGUCAUAAAUUAUAUUUUAUACCAAGUUUUUCAGACCAUAAAAGCACCUAAAUGUUAAUUAAUUUCUCUUUGUUUAGGAUGAUAUAAAAAUACAAUCAUACUAUAAUAGUCA